Molecule: ribosomal RNA, 530 nt
Filed under: uncultured bacterium
Lineage: Bacteria
Description: bacterial SSU rRNA
Rfam family: Bacterial small subunit ribosomal RNA
Source: RNAcentral
UAGUCCACGCCGUAAACGAUGGAUACUAGGUGUUCGGUAAAUUUAAGAUUACUGAGUACCGGAGUUCACGCAUUAAGUAUCCCGCCUGGGGAGUACGGUCGCAAGGCUAAAACUCAAAGGAAUUGACGGGGGCCCGCACAAGCGGUGGAGUAUGUGGUUUAAUUCGAAGCAACGCGAAGAACCUUACCUGGUCUUGACAUCCCGUGCUAACUUUAGAGAUAGAGUGUUAUCUUCGGAUACGCGGAGACAGGUGCUGCAUGGCUGUCGUCAGCUCGUGUUGUGAAAUGUUCGGUUAAGUCCGGCAACGAGCGCAACCCCUGUCCUUAGUUGCCAUCAUUAAGUUGGGUACUCUAGGGAGACUGCCGGUGUUAAACCGGAGGAAGGCGGGGAUGACGUCAAGUCCUCAUGGCCCUUACGACCAGGGGCUACACACGUACUACAAUGGGCAAAGACAGACCGUCGCGAAGCAGUAAUGUGGAGCUAAUCGGGUAAAACAUUGUCUCAGUCCGGGAUUGAGGGUCUGCAACUCG